AUGACAACUGUUAUGAAAAUCAUUAAUUGUUGUCCUCAGAUACUGCUUCUGUCAAGAGCAAUCUGGAGCCAUCAUGCUGAGGACCAUGAAACGAGUGGCAACUUGCUUCUCCCUGCCAGGAAUCAAUUGCUCCGUGCUAGUAGCAUUUACUGUGUCUGUGCCUGUGCAUCCCCAAAACCUGAGGGCAGUUACUUUAAAAUUCAGGAAAACAUCUACCAAUAAUCGGUGGUCCCAUGGAGAGGUUUUCCACCAUAGGAAAAAUCAAGGAGAAGAGGAACUAAAUAUGGAGUGAGAGAAAACUGCUGAGCUGGCUUCUACCAUGAAAGUCAUUAACCAAGUUGGAUUAGUAAACUCUUCCAAAGCCACAUCUGCCCUAUUAAAGCUUUAAGGGCCAUAUGCCAAAGUGAAAAUUAAAUAAAGCAACAAAAAGACUGUGCCCAAAUGAAUUUGGUUUUAUUUUUACUACACAGAGUGAGGCUCUGCACUAUAAAGCAACCACAGAGAGACCUUGCCAAGUUGUGGCGGUUUCCCAGAAUGCAUUAAAAACUCAGGAGUCUCCACCAUCUCCACUAAUGAUGCUAGCUACUGGAUCACAAAAUGACUUCUAUUCUGACUGUUACGGAAAAGCCCAUCUAGUGAAAAUUUCAUCAAGCAGUGUGAAAUUUGCACAUCAAUUUCAGGAUAGUCUGUUAGACAUGGCUUAGAAUCCUGCAACAAUAAAGGUUUUAAAAUGCCUUGUUAUAAUCAAAAAGUCUUAUUCCUGUCCUAAUCAUCUCUUUUGCUUCCAAGUUUACUUAGUGGUUCAUCCCAUAAGAGAAAAAAAAAUCUUGGCUCUACAUUUGAUAAAGGACAAAAGAUAUAUAGCUCCACAGAAUUAGAUCCUAUGCUCAAAUGCUGCUAUGAUUGCAAAGAACCUUCCCUGUGUUGUUCAUUGCUGGUGGAACGCAGCAUCAGAACAACUGUAGCCCUAGAAGAGUUUUAAUAUUGCCAAGUAUUGAAGCUUAAAUUAUUUUCAAAUUAUUUUCAUAGUAUAACUUUUGUGUAUCUUCACCAAUUUUGGCAGAUGAUAAAUCUGAACUGUGAAAUAUUUGUUUUGCCUCGCUUUGCUUCUUUCAUCAUUUUUUUUUCUUUCAAGUAUAUGCAGUAACUCAAACCAGACCCCCAAAUUUUCCUAACAAUCUGUUUCAGUGAAUAAGAAUAAUAAAAAUGAUUUCUAAUUAGUGCAAUAAAUGUUCUUGCUCUCAAGCGCCAAGAAUGGUUUGUUCACCAAAUUAUAAAGAUGUUUUUAAACCAAAUUAUCCUUCCCAAUCUUUGUUCUAU
RNAcentral lists this long non-coding RNA (1320 nucleotides) under Canis lupus familiaris (dog). Its description in RNAcentral is "lncRNA (ENSCAFG00030006539.1)". Lineage: Eukaryota; Metazoa; Chordata; Mammalia; Carnivora; Canidae. The record is from RNAcentral.